AGUGAACGCUGGCGGUAGGCCUAACACAUGCAAGUCGAACGGCAGCACAGUAAGAGCUUGCUCUUACGGGUGGCGAGUGGCGGACGGGUGAGGAAUACAUCGGAAUCUACUUUUUCGUGGGGGAUAACGUAGGGAAACUUACGCUAAUACCGCAUACGAUCUACGGGUGAAAGCAGGGGAUCUUCGGACCUUGCGCGAUUGAAUGAGCCGAUGUCGGAUUAGCUAGUUGGCGGGGUAAAGGCCCACCAAGGCGACGAUCCGUAGCUGGUCUGAGAGGAUGAUCAGCCACACUGGAACUGAGACACGGUCCAGACUCCUACGGGAGGCAGCAGUGGGGAAUAUUGGACAAUGGGCGCAAGCCUGAUCCAGCCAUACCGCGUGGGUGAAGAAGGCCUUCGGGUUGUAAAGCCCUUUUGUUGGGAAAGAAGAGCAGCAGGUUAAUACCCCGCUGUUCUGACGGUACCCAAAGAAUAAGCACCGGCUAACUUCGUG
RNAcentral lists this ribosomal RNA (492 nucleotides) under uncultured bacterium. RNAcentral's name for it is "partial 16S ribosomal RNA". It matches the Rfam family "Bacterial small subunit ribosomal RNA", at positions 29 to 507 of the family's 1533-position model. The record is from RNAcentral.